GCUGCCGGGCUUCCCUUUGUCAUCCUUUGCCUCGGGCUCUGAGCGGGGCAGGGACAGCAAAGGGGUGCUCGGCUGUCC
This is a non-coding RNA of Eptesicus fuscus (big brown bat), 78 nucleotides long. The record is from Rfam. Lineage: Eukaryota; Metazoa; Chordata; Mammalia; Chiroptera; Vespertilionidae.